GCAUGCAUUUAGGUUGUCAUGGUGACGCGCGCUCACACAACCGCACGUCAUGGCACUGCGCUGAACUCUGUCCAGACUGUGAAUGUGGUAUUAUCUUCGCGAUCUGUAGGCACUACGGAAACGAAAGGCGCAUAAUCAUAACUCAAAUAAUCUCCGCCUAAAUACAGAACGGUAUUUUCUGAUGACGGGCAAAAACUUAGCCUCAAAACGUAGCUGUCUGUCACACACAGCUUGUUGCAUGCUGAUCCAUACACGAGAGCCUAACGGAGAACAUUUAAGCUGUGCUCCUCACCUGAGCAGAAUUGAAGGUCGGUUGUUGCUGACUACAGAAAGAUUCUUAUAUGGAGGCAUGUAAAAGCAAGGAAAGUGAAACUUCAGCUAGACCUUGAGUUCAGUUUACAAUAUGAAGAUCCUGAUAUCAACAUCUGAUCUGAUCAACACCUGAUUUUCAUCUGAGCUGCAGAGUACCAACAUGUUACAAAUGAGAAUUUUCCCCACAAAUUCUUUGGACAACCGCACCACCACCUAUUUCAUUUGAUGACAAUUUUAAGGCAAACAGCAUCCAAAACUGACAAGACAGCAGAUACCCUGGCUAAUCUUUUGAAGGUUUAUGAUGAGCAGGAACUGCAUGAUGUCAGUUCAUGAUGGACCACUGUUAUCAGAGGUCUUUUGGUCUUGCUGCGUGAGCGUGACUGGGGAUUCUUUAGGACCACCCUGAUUAAUAAUCCUGAAGCGCUGACUGAAGAUGCUUUAUUGGCCCUGCAGUCACUGAGGGUCUCUGCUGUCCUGAAGAAUGAAUUGGACACCACCCACAGCACACUUCCAGACCUUUUUUGUCUUGUUUGGAUUUUAAUGUAUGCUCUUCACAUAGUAUAUAGUAAAGGACUUUGAACUUGUACAAAAAGUUUUGCUUGGCAUGGAUGAUAGAAAAUAGAAAGUCGAUUAGCAUAGAAUCCUUAAAGAAUGAGUUGAUGUAGAGCCUUUUUUUGUACUCAAUAAAGACUGUCACUGGGGUAGUAACUUCAAAACAUAUAUGUACCUUUAAUUGGU
Long non-coding RNA from Danio aesculapii, 1050 nucleotides. RefSeq lists it as uncharacterized. Lineage: Eukaryota; Metazoa; Chordata; Actinopteri; Cypriniformes; Danionidae. The record is from RefSeq and is a predicted model, not a curated record. The transcript is spliced from 6 exons.